UUAUUGGGCGUAAAGAGCUCGUAGGCGGUUUGUCGCGUCUGGUGUGAAAUCCCGAGGCUCAACCUCGGGCUUGCAUCGGGUACGGGCAGACUAGAGUACUGUAGGGGAGACUGGAAUUCCUGGUGUAGCGGUGGAAUGCGCAGAUAUCAGGAGGAACACCGAUGGCGAAGGCAGGUCUCUGGGCAGUUACUGACGCUGAGGAGCGAAAGCAUGGGGAGCGAACAGGAUUAGAUACCCUGGUAGUCCAUGCCGUAAACGUUGGGCACUAGGUGUGGGGCUCAUUCCACGAGUUCCGUGCCGCAGCUAACGCAUUAAGUGCCCCGCCUGGGGAGUACGGCCGCAAGGCUAAAACUCAAAGGAAUUGACGGGGGCCCGCACAAGCGGCGGAGCAUGCGGAUUAAUUCGAUGCAACGCGAAGAACCUUACCAAGGCUUGACAUGCACCGGACGCUGCCAGAGAUGGUGGUUCCGCAAGGUCGGUGCACAGGUGGUGCAUGGUUGUCGUCAGCUCGUGUCGUGAGAUGUUGGGUUAAGUCCCGCAACGAGCGCAACCCUCGUCCCAUGUUGCCAGCGGGUUAUGCCGGGGACUCAUGGGAGACUGCCGGGGUCAACUCGGAGGAAGGCGGGGAUGACGUCAAAUCAUCAUGCCCCUUAUGUCUUGGGCUUCACGCAUGCUACAAUGGCCGGUACAGAGGGCUGCGAUACCGUAAGGUGGAGCGAAUCCCAAAAAGCCGGUCUCAGUUCGGAUUGGGGUCUGCAACUCGACCCCAUGAAGUCGGAGUCGCUAGUAAUCGCAGAUCAGCAACGCUGCGGUGAAUACGUUCCCGGGCCUUGUACACACCGCCCG
RNAcentral lists this ribosomal RNA (846 nucleotides) under Isoptericola halotolerans. RNAcentral's name for it is "bacterial SSU rRNA". It matches the Rfam family "Bacterial small subunit ribosomal RNA", at positions 551 to 1396 of the family's 1533-position model. Lineage: Bacteria; Bacillati; Actinomycetota; Actinomycetes; Micrococcales; Promicromonosporaceae. The record is from RNAcentral.